RNAcentral lists this ribosomal RNA (425 nucleotides) under uncultured bacterium. Its description in RNAcentral is "partial 16S ribosomal RNA". It matches the Rfam family "Bacterial small subunit ribosomal RNA", at positions 354 to 796 of the family's 1533-position model. The record is from RNAcentral.
GUGGGGAAUAUUGGACAAUGGGCGCAAGCCUGAUCCAGCCAUGCCGCGUGAGUGAUGAAGGCCUUAGGGUUGUAAAGCUCUUUCAGUGGGGACGAUAAUGACGGUACCCACAGAAGAAGCCCCGGCUAACUUCGUGCCAGCAGCCGCGGUAAUACGAAGGGGGCUAGCGUUGUUCGGAUUUACUGGGCGUAAAGCGCACGUAGGCGGAUCGUUAAGUCGGGGGUGAAAUCCUGGAGCUCAACUCCAGAACUGCCGUCGAUACUGGCGAUCUUGAGUCCGGAAGAGGUGAGUGGAACUCCUAGUGUAGAGGUGGAAUUCGUAGAUAUUAGGAAGAACACCAGUGGCGAAGGCGGCUCACUGGUCCGGUACUGACGCUGAGGUGCGAAAGCGUGGGGAGCAAACAGGAUUAGAAACCCCAGUAGUCC